UACGUAGGGCGCGAGCGUUGUCCGGAAUUAUUGGGCGUAAAGAGCUCGUAGGCGGCCUGUUGCGUCCGCUGUGAAAUCCCAGGGCUCAACCCUGGGCGUGCAGUGGAUACUGGCAAGCUAGAGUGCGGUAGAGGAUGGUGGAAUUCCCGGUGUAGCGGUGAAAUGCGUAGAGAUCGGGAGGAACACCCGUGGCGAAGGCGGCCAUCUGGACCAGCACUGACGCUGAGGCACGAAAGCGUGGGGAGCAAACAGG
This 253-nucleotide ribosomal RNA is filed under the name uncultured bacterium. RNAcentral's name for it is "partial 16S ribosomal RNA". It matches the Rfam family "Bacterial small subunit ribosomal RNA", at positions 524 to 776 of the family's 1533-position model. The record is from RNAcentral.